RNAcentral lists this ribosomal RNA (500 nucleotides) under uncultured bacterium. RNAcentral's name for it is "partial 16S ribosomal RNA". It matches the Rfam family "Bacterial small subunit ribosomal RNA", at positions 30 to 523 of the family's 1533-position model. The record is from RNAcentral.
AUUGAACGCUGGCGGCAUGCCUUACACAUGCAAGUCGAACGGUAACGGGUCCUUCGGGAUGCCGACGAGUGGCGAACGGGUGAGUAAUAUAUCGGAACGUGCCCAGUAGUGGGGGAUAACUGCUCGAAAGAGCAGCUAAUACCGCAUACGACCUGAGGGUGAAAGGGGGGGAUCGCAAGACCUAUCGCUAUUGGAGCGGCCGAUAUCAGAUUAGCUAGUUGGUGGGGUAAAGACCUACCAAGGCAACGAUCUGUAGUUGGUCUGAGAGGACGACCAGCCACACUGGGACUGAGACACGGCCCAGACUCCUACGGGAGGCAGCAGUGGGGAAUUUUGGACAAUGGGCGCAAGCCUGAUCCAGCAAUGCCGCGUGCAGGAAGAAGGCCUUCGGGUUGUAAACUGCUUUUGUCAGGGAAGAAAUCUUCUGGGCUAAUACCCCGGGAGGAUGACGGUACCUGAAGAAUAAGCACCGGCUAACUUCGUGCCAGCCGCCGCAGUAA